This 73-nucleotide transfer RNA is filed under the name Planctomycetota bacterium. RNAcentral describes it as "Planctomycetes bacterium (groundwater metagenome) tRNA-Trp". It matches the Rfam family "tRNA". Rfam says of the family: Transfer RNA (tRNA) molecules are approximately 80 nucleotides in length. Lineage: Bacteria; Pseudomonadati; Planctomycetota. The record is from RNAcentral. RNAcentral also lists the same sequence under 1 other name.
AGGGGCGUAGCUCAAUUGGCAGAGCAGCCGUCUCCAAAGCGGCAGGUUGAGCGUUCGACUCGCUCCGCCCCUG